Molecule: long non-coding RNA, 305 nt
Filed under: Mytilus galloprovincialis (Mediterranean mussel)
Lineage: Eukaryota; Metazoa; Mollusca; Bivalvia; Mytilida; Mytilidae
Source: RNAcentral
AUUCAAUGUUUAGCGUACUUGAAAGAUAAGACACUAUCUAAAAACUACCAUAAUUCAAUUAUACUGACCUCUUGAUCCGAUCGAAACCAUGCUCUUUCACUUUCGAUUAAUCAAAAACUAAAAGCGUAACAAAAGACGGUCAAAGUUCCGUUUUUUCUUUUUAUUGUAAAGUAAAGUACAUGUUGUAGACAGAUAUUACUCUGUUAAUUGUAACUAACACGCAAUACUACAUGUAUGUAAAAUUAUAAAAAGUUUGCUAAUAAAAUCCCCUGGUUUUAUUGGUAAUUAACCAUACAGGGCAGAAC